This 80-nucleotide transfer RNA is filed under the name Agaricus bisporus var. burnettii. It matches the Rfam family "tRNA". From Rfam's summary of the family: Transfer RNA (tRNA) molecules are approximately 80 nucleotides in length. Their secondary structure includes four short double-helical elements and three loops (D, anti-codon, and T loops). RNAcentral also lists the same sequence under 2 other names. Lineage: Eukaryota; Fungi; Basidiomycota; Agaricomycetes; Agaricales; Agaricaceae. The record is from Rfam by way of RNAcentral.
GGCCCCGUAGUGUAGUGGUUAUCACUCAAGAUUCUGAUCCGCGAUUUCUUGUAACCCAGGUUCGAAUCCUGGCGAGGCCU